Molecule: long non-coding RNA, 730 nt
Filed under: Homo sapiens (human)
Lineage: Eukaryota; Metazoa; Chordata; Mammalia; Primates; Hominidae
Description: HSALNT0344851
Source: RNAcentral
AGGAGGAGGUUGCAGUGAGGAGGAGGUUGUAGUGAGGAGCAGGUUGCAGUGAGGAGGAGGUUGCAGUGAGGAGGAGGUUGCAGUGAGCCGAGAUUGUGUCCCUGGACUCCAGACUGGGCAAUAGAGCGAGACUAUGUCUCCAGAAAAAAAAAAAAAAAAAAAAAAAAUUUAUAUAGAAAACAGAAAGCAAAACUACCUCUUGAUUUGCUUUUCUUGAUCUUGCAUCUCAGAGGUAACACUGGGAAGGGUUGGGUUAUACCUCUCCCCACCUUUUUCUUUGAUUUCUUUUUAUUUUUUAUUCUACGUUCUGAGAUACAUGUGCAGAAUGUGCAGGUUUGUUACAUAGAUAUACAUGUGCCAUGGUGGUUUGCUGCAUCUAUCAACCCGUCAACUAGGUUUUAAGCCCCACAUGCAUUAGGUAUUUGUCCUAACGCUCUCCCUCGCCUUGUCCCCCACCCCCGAUGGGCCCCGGUGUGUGAUGUUCCCCUCCCUGUGUCCAUGUGUUCUCAUUGUUCAACUCCCACUUAUGAGUGAGAGCACACCGUGUUUGGUUUUCUGUUUCUGUCCACAGCUUUUUCCUCUGUGCACACAAGCACAUGUAUUUGCACAUAAGUGUUUAUUGUAAUAUUUUUAAAAAAGUAAAAAUGAAAUAAUGCUAUAUUUAUUCUUUGGAAAGCCUGCUUUUCAGGCAGCAUGUCUUUGACAUUGUCUCACGUUGGAACCUGGGUAC